Molecule: ribosomal RNA, 423 nt
Filed under: uncultured bacterium
Lineage: Bacteria
Description: bacterial SSU rRNA
Rfam family: Bacterial small subunit ribosomal RNA
Source: RNAcentral
UGAGGAAUAUUGGUCAAUGGGCGCGAGCCUGAACCAGCCAAGUAGCGUGAAGGAUGAAGGUCCUAUGGAUUGUAAACUUCUUUUAUAGCAGAAUAAAGUGACCCACGUGUGGGUUUUUGUAUGUAUGCUAUGAAUAAGGAUCGGCUAACUCCGUGCCAGCAGCCGCGGUAAUACGGAGGAUCCGAGCGUUCUCCGGAUUUAUUGGGUUUAACGGGUGCGUAGGCGGAAAGAUAAGUCAGCCUGUGAAAGUUUGCGGCUCAACCGUAAAAUUGCAGCUGAUAACGUUUUUGUUGAGUGUACAUAAGGUAGGCGGAAUGCGUGGUGUAGCGGUGAAAUGCUUAGAUAUCACGAAGAACUCCGAUUGCGAAGGCAGCUUACCGGGGUACAACUGACGCUGAUGCACGAAAGUGUGGGUAUCAAACA